GAUGAACGCUGGCGGCGUGCCUAAUACAUGCAAGUCGAGCGAACGGACGAGAAGCUUGCUUCUCUGAUGUUAGCGGCGGACGGGUGAGUAACACGUGGAUAACCUACCUAUAAGACUGGGAUACUUCGGGAAACCGGAGCUAAUACCGGAUAAUAUUUUGAACCGCAUGGUUCAAAAGUGAAAGACGGUCUUGCUGUCACUUAUAGAUGGAUCCGCGCUGCUUUAGCUAGUUGGUAAGGUAACGGCUUACCAAGGCAACGAUGCAUAGCCGACCUGAGAGGGUGAUCGGCCACACUGGAACUGAGACACGGUCCAGACUCCUACGGGAGGCAGCAGUAGGGAAUCUUCCGCAAUGGGCGAAAGCCUGACGGAGCAACGCCGCGUGAGUGAUGAAGGUCUUCGGAUCGUAAAACUCUGUUAUUAGGGAAGAACAUAUGUGUAAGUAACUGUGCACAUCUUGACGGUACCUAAUCAGAAAGCCACGGCUAACUACGUG
Molecule: ribosomal RNA, 496 nt
Filed under: uncultured bacterium
Lineage: Bacteria
Description: partial 16S ribosomal RNA
Rfam family: Bacterial small subunit ribosomal RNA
Source: RNAcentral